GCCUGGGUAGCUCAGUUGGUAGAGCAACGCAUUCGUAAUGCGUAGGUCAGGAGUUCGAAUCUCCUCUCAGGCUCCA
Molecule: transfer RNA, 76 nt
Filed under: Actinomycetota bacterium
Lineage: Bacteria; Bacillati; Actinomycetota
Also listed under: 2 other names
Description: Actinobacteria bacterium tRNA-Thr
Rfam family: tRNA
About the family: Transfer RNA (tRNA) molecules are approximately 80 nucleotides in length. Their secondary structure includes four short double-helical elements and three loops (D, anti-codon, and T loops).
Source: RNAcentral